UAAAUUUAUUUUCAUAAUUUCAAUGACCAUAGUUUUUGAAAAAGGCGAAAUUUAAUUACGGAUCACAGCGGAUGUUGUCAGAAAUUCGCAGUCGCUGCUAAAUUUUCGGCCCGACAUCGAAAAAGCUCUGAAAGCAAGAUAUGGGGACCAUGGGCUCUCGGGUGUUUGCACCGACUUUUACAGGCCUAUUCUUACUGUUACCGGUAAAGUAAAUUUUGCUACAUCGAAAUGGAGGACGGAGCACAACAAAAUAAAUAACUUUUAUUUAUUUGUUUAUUAAGUUAUAAAUAAUUGAAAAGCAUAGGCGUAUAUUUUGAGAGCUCAACAACAACAGCACAAAUUGGAAGAAAGUUAAAUAAGAGAUUAUUUACGAUUUGGUAACAAAGCUCGAUUGUCAAACAAAUGGCCAUGAUUUAAGCAAAGUUUAUAUUUGGACUAAUGUUCAUUUCUGGAGCUGUGUGAUAUUCUAGACUUGCGAGAAUUAUAUGAAAUUUUAUUAUAACCGUUUUGAUUUUAUUAAGAAUAACAUACAGAAAGAAAUCUGAACAUUUUAACAAAUUAAGUAAUAUGGCGACUUAUGACCAAAACUUUAUUUUGUUUUGUUAGCCCCGUUAGAAAAGUUGAACUCUUUGAGAAUAGAAUUUUGCCAUUGAACUUAGAAUAUGUUUCAGGUUGAAAACUUGUGUAAUCAUAUUGGAUGUGCAAAUCGUUCGGAAGUACAGCGAGCUCUAAAGCAAAGAACGACAAAAAAGUUUUGAAAAAUUGAACAACCUAAAUGCAGGAAAUAUAAUUAUGGCGGUUAGGUCCUCAAAUUCGUGUUUUCAAAGCAGUACUUUUCAAUUUGUGAGCUUGAGAAUUAAGAAUACUAUAUAUUGCAACGAAACACCUUAGAUUAUUAAAUAAAAGUCGCAAAACUUAUUGUACAGUUUCUUGAUUGUAAGGGAUAUAAUCAAAUAAAUAACCACUGUGUUGGCCGCUCUCUUGUAUACCCCACCAAUUGCACGAACUCAUUUCUGGGUAGGUUUUUUCGGAUAUAAUUUUUCUCAUUGAGUUAAGAAGAGAGUACCAAAUACUAAGAUUUAGAAUUAGCAUCAAAGAAUGCUAAGAUAAUGCAAAUGCAGCUAACAUAUUAGUUUAGCGUAGCAGGUGUCUUUCCAUUCGCUGAGCUAAUCGUUCCAUCGGCUGCGGUAUUCGCCGAUACCCACUCGUGGAGGACCUAUAUAUCUUACGCAAAACUUUGCACUCGAAAACUCCUAACGCCAACUCAUCAGAUGUCAUCGUUCAUGCCUCCGCACCAUAUAUCAGUUCGGCAGUGAUGAGCGACUUGUAGAUUUUGGCUUUCAUUCGUCGCAAGAGGUCUUUAUUUUCAAUUGCCUAAUCUGUCUUAAGUGGAACCAGUUAGUAAGUGUGACUCUGCGCUGAAUUUUAAGGCUGACAUUGUUGUGUAGUUUGUUGUUGGUGUUAAUGAUGGUAACAAGACAGACGAAAUCAUCUACGACUCCAAAGAUAUGACUGUCAACAGUAACGUGGGAGCAGAGUUGUAAAUGUGCCGACAGGAGUUAUUUCAUCCUGUCCGCCUUCACUACCAAGCUAAGGAGAUGCGCUUCCUUAUCCAGUGUGAAGAAAGCAGAACUCAUCGGUGUACGCCAGCAGCUAUUCAGCUUUGCAGCUCUUAUUAUUUUCACCAGCAAUAAAUUAAGGAAGUCACACGAUAAGGAGUCACCUUGUUUGAAUCCUCGUUUUGUGUCGGACGGCUCGGAGAUCCUGAUGGUGCUUUUGCUGCUUUCCUUAACGUCAGUCGUAUAAAUUUUGCGGGGAUACCGAAUUCACACUGAUAAGGUCCAAUCAGUUUGUUGACGGUGGGAUUUAGUCUUAAACGGAUUGAACAGAGCACACUAAGGUGCCUUGAUAACUCUUCACCGCCAUGUUAAAAAAGCUCAGCCUGUAAGCCAUUCCCUUCAGCCGCUUUGUUGUUCUUUAUGUGUAUGUGUAUGCUAUUUAUUUUUCUUCAUGUUGUUUCAACAAGUCUAAAAAACAAACUGGGCAAGACCAUCAUACGCUCUGUUUUAUUUAUUGACUAUUUUUUAAUUUUCUACACAGUACGGCAAUAUCGUUUUUGGGCAGUUUCGAGAAGAGCCGCUGUAAUCUGUAAAUACCGAAAUUUCGCCUUUUUCGAGAGCUUUUGUAGAGUUUAUUAGAAAACGCUGGAGAAGUAUAGAUGUAUUAAUAAAAAGUUUAAUUCAUUAACUUUCGAACAGCGUAGGCGGGAAGUGCCCCGCUCUCUCCCUUCGCGCCCGUCAAAUUGGGAUACUUCUGUAACGAUUCCAAUUCAAAGUAUUGAAUGGAAUAUUGUCAAAUUAAACU
RNAcentral lists this long non-coding RNA (2364 nucleotides) under Ceratitis capitata (Mediterranean fruit fly). RNAcentral's name for it is "uncharacterized LOC110118274". Lineage: Eukaryota; Metazoa; Arthropoda; Insecta; Diptera; Tephritidae. The record is from RNAcentral.